This 201-nucleotide unclassified non-coding RNA is filed under the name Hevea brasiliensis (rubber tree). Lineage: Eukaryota; Viridiplantae; Streptophyta; Magnoliopsida; Malpighiales; Euphorbiaceae. The record is from RNAcentral.
AUUUGCUUAAUAUCAAGCUUGUCUUUUCAUGCCACCAAUUAGCCAAUAACUAAAGUAGAACUUUUCAUUUUCUGCAUGCUCACACACCAAGACCAUCAAGCCAUUUAAAAAAGAAAAACAGGAAUCUACUCUUUAUGCCUCUUGAAUUCAUUUCAAAUUUAUGGUGUAGGAUAAUAUCACAUUAUUUGUAACAUAUUAACA